CAGCAGGCGCGCAAAUUACCCAAUCCCAAUANGGGNNNNNAGUGACAAUAAAUAACAAUAUGGGGCUCUUACGGGUCUCGUAAUUGGAAUGAGUACAAUUUAAAUCUCUUAACGAGGAACAAUUGGAGGGCAAGUCUGGUGCCAGCAGCCGCGGUAAUUCCAGCUCCAAUAGCGUAUAUUAAAGUUGUUGCAGUUAAAAAGCUCGUAGUUGAAUUUCGGAGUUUGUCGGUUGGUCGGGCUUCACUGUCCGCACUGGCCUGAUGGAUUCCUACCUUCUGAAUAACCAGCAUGCUAUUAAGUUAGUGCGUUGGGGAAGCAGAGCUAUUACCUUGAAAAAAUUAGAGUGCUUAAAGCAGGCUUAUGCUUGAAUAGAUUAGCAUGGAAUAAUAAAAUAGGACGGCAUGGUUCUAUUUUGUUGGUUUCUAGGAUCACCGUAAUGAUUAAUAGGGAUAGUUGGGGGCAUUAGUAUUCAAUUGUCAGAGGUGAAAUUCUUGGAUUUAUUGAAGACUAACUUCUGCGAAAGCAUUUGCCAAGGAUGUUUUCAUUAAUCAAGAACGAAAGUUAGGGGAUCGAAGACGAUCAGAUACCGUCGUAGUCUUAACCAUAAACUAUGCCGACUAGGGAUCGGACGAUGUUAAUUUUU
RNAcentral lists this ribosomal RNA (643 nucleotides) under uncultured Glomeromycotina. RNAcentral describes it as "SSU rRNA". It matches the Rfam family "Eukaryotic small subunit ribosomal RNA", at positions 426 to 1071 of the family's 1831-position model. Lineage: Eukaryota; Fungi; Glomeromycota. The record is from RNAcentral.